Molecule: small nuclear RNA, 104 nt
Organism: Octopus sinensis (East Asian common octopus)
Lineage: Eukaryota; Metazoa; Mollusca; Cephalopoda; Octopoda; Octopodidae
Source: RefSeq, a predicted model, not a curated record
GUGUGAAUGGCAAUACAUAUACUAAAAUUGGAGCGAUACAGAAAAGAUUAGCAUGGCCCCUGCGCAAGGAUGACACACAAAUUUGUGGAGCAUUCCAUAUUUUG